RNAcentral lists this ribosomal RNA (503 nucleotides) under uncultured bacterium. RNAcentral describes it as "partial 16S ribosomal RNA". It matches the Rfam family "Bacterial small subunit ribosomal RNA", at positions 30 to 523 of the family's 1533-position model. The record is from RNAcentral.
AUUGAACGCUGGCGGCAGGCUUAACACAUGCAAGUCGAGCGGGGUGAUGGUGCUUGCACUAUCACUUAGCGGCGGACGGGUGAGUAAUGCUUAGAAAUCUGCCUAUUAGUGGGGGACAACAUCUCGAAAGGGAUGCUAAUACCGCAUACGUCCUACGGGAGAAAGCAGGGGAUCACUUGUGACCUUGCGCUAAUAGAUGAGCCUAAGUCGGAUUAGCUAGUUGGUGGGGUAAAGGCCUACCAAGGCGACGAUCUAUCGCGGGUCUGAGAGGAUGAUCCGCCACACUGGGACGGAGACACGGCCCAGACUCCUACGGGAGGCAGCAGUGGGGAAUAUUGGACAAUGGGGGGAACCCUGAUCCAGCCAUGCCGCGUGUGUGAAGAAGGCCUUAUGGUUGUAAAGCACUUUAAGCGAGGAGGAGGCUCUUUUGGUUAAUACCCAAGAUGAGUGGACGUUACUCGCAGAAUAAGCACCGGCUAACUCUGUGCCAGCAGCCGCCGUAA